This is a long non-coding RNA of Pezoporus flaviventris, 984 nucleotides long. RefSeq lists it as uncharacterized. The transcript is spliced from 3 exons. The record is from RefSeq and is a predicted model, not a curated record. NCBI's taxonomy places the organism in Eukaryota, Metazoa, Chordata, Aves, Psittaciformes, Psittacidae.
CGUGCUUCCCGCUCUCUACCCACCACAGCACUGAUGAGAUGAACAACAGCCCCAACUUUGAGGAGAAGCAGCACUUCCUCACCAUCUUCAACCUCAUGCACAUCAGUGCUGAGAAGAGGAAAGACAAGGAGAAGCUGGGGGAGAUGCUCCAGGUCAUGAAGCAGAAGACCACACUGGCCCCUGUGGUGGUGAAGACCUCCCCAUGGGACAGCCCCAGCAGCCCCACCACUGCAUGAAUGGCAAGAGCAAACCCUGGGAGCCCUUCAUCGCUGAGGAGUUUGCCCAUCAGUUCCAUGAAUCUGUGCUGCAGUCCACCCAGAAGGUAUUGCAGAAGCACAAAGGUAAUGGCAGGGAUGUGGGAAGCUGGCUGGGUAUUCACCGGGGUGAUAUCCCUGUGGGGUGGGAGACCCCCCCUCAUCCCUCUCACUGGGGUUUGGCACUGCCGAGGGCACAAAAUCCACUGGGAAGCUUGUUGAUGGAGUAUCCCAGGAGCUCACUGAUGAAGCUAAGGAUAUAAGUUGGGAUCCCAGCAGGACAGUAUUCUUCCAGUACCUUAAGGGGGCCCACAAGAAAUCUGGAGAGGGACUUUUUACAAAGGCCUGUAGGGACAGGCCAAGGGGGAAUGGCUUUAACCUGACAGAGGGGAGACUGAGAUGAGCUCUUAGGCAGAAGCUCUUCCCUGUGAGGGUGGUGAGGCACUGGCACAGGGUUCCCAGAGAAGCUGUGGCUGCCCCAUCCCUGGCAGUGUUCAAAGCCAGGUUGGAUGGGGCUUGGAGUAACCUGCUCUAGUGGAAGGUGUCCCUGCCUAUGGCAGGGGGUUGGAACUAGAUGAGCUUUAAGGUCCCUUCCAAGCCAAACCAUUCCAUGGUUCUGUAAUACAGCUCCAUCCUGCACAAGCUCAUUCAUUUCAAUGAGCAAGGAAAACAAAGUUAUUCCAGUGCACAGGGGGCAAUGAAAACCCAUGGAAGAUGCUGCAGCCCCCCC